This 1536-nucleotide ribosomal RNA is filed under the name Klebsiella pneumoniae. RNAcentral describes it as "bacterial SSU rRNA". The record is from RNAcentral. Lineage: Bacteria; Pseudomonadati; Pseudomonadota; Gammaproteobacteria; Enterobacterales; Enterobacteriaceae.
UUGAAGAGUUUGAUCAUGGCUCAGAUUGAACGCUGGCGGCAGGCCUAACACAUGCAAGUCGAGCGGUAGCACAGAGAGCUUGCUCUCGGGUGACGAGCGGCGGACGGGUGAGUAAUGUCUGGGAAACUGCCUGAUGGAGGGGGAUAACUACUGGAAACGGUAGCUAAUACCGCAUAACGUCGCAAGACCAAAGUGGGGGACCUUCGGGCCUCAUGCCAUCAGAUGUGCCCAGAUGGGAUUAGCUAGUAGGUGGGGUAACGGCUCACCUAGGCGACGAUCCCUAGCUGGUCUGAGAGGAUGACCAGCCACACUGGAACUGAGACACGGUCCAGACUCCUACGGGAGGCAGCAGUGGGGAAUAUUGCACAAUGGGCGCAAGCCUGAUGCAGCCAUGCCGCGUGUGUGAAGAAGGCCUUCGGGUUGUAAAGCACUUUCAGCGGGGAGGAAGGCGUUAAGGUUAAUAACCUUGGCGAUUGACGUUACCCGCAGAAGAAGCACCGGCUAACUCCGUGCCAGCAGCCGCGGUAAUACGGAGGGUGCAAGCGUUAAUCGGAAUUACUGGGCGUAAAGCGCACGCAGGCGGUCUGUCAAGUCGGAUGUGAAAUCCCCGGGCUCAACCUGGGAACUGCAUUCGAAACUGGCAGGCUAGAGUCUUGUAGAGGGGGGUAGAAUUCCAGGUGUAGCGGUGAAAUGCGUAGAGAUCUGGAGGAAUACCGGUGGCGAAGGCGGCCCCCUGGACAAAGACUGACGCUCAGGUGCGAAAGCGUGGGGAGCAAACAGGAUUAGAUACCCUGGUAGUCCACGCCGUAAACGAUGUCGAUUUGGAGGUUGUGCCCUUGAGGCGUGGCUUCCGGAGCUAACGCGUUAAAUCGACCGCCUGGGGAGUACGGCCGCAAGGUUAAAACUCAAAUGAAUUGACGGGGGCCCGCACAAGCGGUGGAGCAUGUGGUUUAAUUCGAUGCAACGCGAAGAACCUUACCUGGUCUUGACAUCCACAGAACUUUSCAGAGAUGSWUUGGUGCCUUCGGGAACUGUGAGACAGGUGCUGCAUGGCUGUCGUCAGCUCGUGUUGUGAAAUGUUGGGUUAAGUCCCGCAACGAGCGCAACCCUUAUCCUUUGUUGCCAGCGGUUAGGCCGGGAACUCAAAGGAGACUGCCAGUGAUAAACUGGAGGAAGGUGGGGAUGACGUCAAGUCAUCAUGGCCCUUACGACCAGGGCUACACACGUGCUACAAUGGCAUAUACAAAGAGAAGCGACCUCGCGAGAGCAAGCGGACCUCAUAAAGUAUGUCGUAGUCCGGAUUGGAGUCUGCAACUCGACUCCAUGAAGUCGGAAUCGCUAGUAAUCGUAGAUCAGAAUGCUACGGUGAAUACGUUCCCGGGCCUUGUACACACCGCCCGUCACACCAUGGGAGUGGGUUGCAAAAGAAGUAGGUAGCUUAACCUUCGGGAGGGCGCUUACCACUUUGUGAUUCAUGACUGGGGUGAAGUCGUAACAAGGUAACCGUAGGGGAACCUGCGGUUGGAUCACCUCCUU